AUGCUCACUCUGGCAACACAUAUACUAAAAUUGGAACGAUGAAGGGAUUAGCAUGGCCCCUGCGCAAGGAUAGCACAAAAUCAUGAAGCAUUUCAUAUUUGA
Molecule: small nuclear RNA, 102 nt
Organism: Mastomys coucha (southern multimammate mouse)
Lineage: Eukaryota; Metazoa; Chordata; Mammalia; Rodentia; Muridae
Source: RefSeq, a predicted model, not a curated record